This 699-nucleotide ribosomal RNA is filed under the name uncultured bacterium. RNAcentral describes it as "bacterial SSU rRNA". It matches the Rfam family "Bacterial small subunit ribosomal RNA", at positions 1 to 713 of the family's 1533-position model. The record is from RNAcentral.
AGGAGUUUGAUCCUGGCUCAGGACGAACGUUGGCGGUGCGCUUAAUGCAUGCAAGUCGAGGGAGAACCUUUCGAUCCGUAAGGACCGAAUGGGGAAACCGGCGAACGGGUGCGUAACACGUGAGGAACCUGCCCCGAAGACCGGGAUAGCCCGAGGAAACUCGGAUUAAUACCGGAUACCCUCCUCGGACCACAUGGUCUGUUGAGGAAAUGGUCCGCCGCUUCGGGAUGGCCUCGCGGCCUAUCAGCUUGUUGGUGAGGUAACGGCUCACCAAGGCAAAGACGGGUAGCUGGUCUGAGAGGACGAUCAGCCACACUGGGACUGAGACACGGCCCAGACUCCUACGGGAGGCAGCAGCAGGGAAUAUUGCACAAUGGGCGAAAGCCUGAUGCAGCGACACCGCGUGCGGGAUGAAGGCCCUCGGGUUGUAAACCGCUUUCAGGAGGGACGAAAAUGACGGUACCUCCAGAAGAAGGCCCGGCCAACUACGUGCCAGCAGCCGCGGUAAUACGUAGGGGCCAAACGUUGUCCGGAUUUAUUGGGCGUAAAGGGCUCGUAGGCGGUUCAACAAGUCGAUCGUGAAAGCCCGGGGCUCAACCCCGGGACGCCGGUCGAAACUGUUGUGACUAGGGUCCGGUAGAGGUGAGUGGAAUUCUCGGUGUAGCGGUGGAAUGCGCAGAUAUCGAGAGGAACACCAGU